This is a non-coding RNA of Phoenix dactylifera (date palm), 444 nucleotides long. The record is from RefSeq and is a predicted model, not a curated record. Lineage: Eukaryota; Viridiplantae; Streptophyta; Magnoliopsida; Arecales; Arecaceae.
AGAAGCAAAUUGCACAUCUUACAAGUUUGGUGACAGAGUUCUUAAAGGGAAAGACUCAUACGCAUAAGUCAUCUAUCCAUCAUGAUGGGGCCAUGUAUUCAACUGGUAGUACAAAUACUCGUUGAUACAUGGUGGAGUUAUGAGCAUGUAAAAUCUAGUUUCUGAUACAUGGAUAGCUUUUGUUCAGAUGAUCAUGGUGGAGUUGUCUACAAGCAGAAUCUAGUUUUUGGUAUAAGAAUAUUUUUGUCUACAUGAUGGUUGUUUGGAUGAAUAGCAACAUCAGAUAUUUUUGGAUUUUUAAUUUACAUUUUGAUGUGUUUGGUGAUGAUUAUCACCUUAACAUAUGGUAUGGAUGAAACAUUUUGAUGUAUAGUUAAUAGGUAUGCUUGACUUUAGACUUAUAGAUGAUGAUAUUUAUAAUGAAUGAUUAUGGAUUCUCCAACA